UACGUAGGGUGCGAGCGUUAAUCGGAAUUACUGGGCGUAAAGCGUGCGCAGGCGGUUUUGUAAGCCAGAUGUGAAAGCCCCGGGCUCAACCUGGGAAUUGCAUUUGAGACUGCAUAGCUAGGGUGCGGAAGAGGGAAGCGGAAUUUCCGGUGUAGCGGUGAAAUGCGUAGAUAUCGGAAGGAACACCAGUGGCGAAAGCGGCUUCCUGGUCCAGCACCGACGUUCAGGCACGAAAGCGUGGGGAGCAAACAGG
RNAcentral lists this ribosomal RNA (253 nucleotides) under uncultured bacterium. Its description in RNAcentral is "partial 16S ribosomal RNA". It matches the Rfam family "Bacterial small subunit ribosomal RNA", at positions 524 to 776 of the family's 1533-position model. The record is from RNAcentral.